CUUGUUCCAGUCUCGUUCAGCCAAAAGCUCUCAUACAUACUGACACCUAGAAGCCCUGCUUUUCUGUUCACUAGGCGGGCUCAGAAAAAGGAAUGGCCACUGUCUCUGGCAACCUCUUCAAAUGCCUACCAGGAAGCCAGGUCUCCCAAGCAUGCCUGUCAUCACAGCCCCCAACACGGGUGCCAUUAUACCUGCCAUCAUGCACCACCAUCAGCAGGAGGGAGGGCGGUUAUGAGCGAAGGUCCAAGAGACUUCCAAGCUGGAGGAGGGAGACGAGCUUGAACCAGCAUAUCCAGCAGCGCGGAUACCCAUGUGAAAAUCCAAGAGGAAAGUCAAAGGGAAAAAAAAAUCACAGCGAGAAACAAGAGCAUCCCC
This 375-nucleotide long non-coding RNA is filed under the name Felis catus (domestic cat). Its description in RNAcentral is "lncRNA (ENSFCAG00000046753.1)". The record is from RNAcentral. Lineage: Eukaryota; Metazoa; Chordata; Mammalia; Carnivora; Felidae.